UCAAAAAUAGAAAAGGCAUAAAAUGAUAAGGAUCCCAAAAUGAACACACCAUGACACCUGACGUCGUCGCCUGAACCGUACGACGCUCCCAAACGAACGCACCAUGGUUGAGCGGGUUGAGCAAGCUGUCAAAUUUUUUCACUCGCGAUGCAUGUUCGAUCCUGUUUGUGUUGGCCGCAGUUUCAAAAGUUUUAAUCGAAAUGAAAUCGCGUGUGCUUGUGAAAAACCAAACUCCCGGCGUCAAAUCUGCCGGGUGACUGAUCCGGGAGGGAGAAGAGGAUUAGUGUCAGCAACUUUUGCAAAUCAAUCCGGAGUAUCCAGUCGACAAAAGGUACCGGCGGACAGACUGAACACACCACGGCAUCACCCACCCGAGGGGGAACAGGAACCGGUCUCGAUCGAGGGUUUCAAAAGGAAUCGAAAGCGAAAGAAAACGUCGUGGAAGGAUUCCUUUUGGCGAUUUGCAAAAACUGAAGAAGGCGUUAACAAUUCAUGAACAAAUAAACAAAGUGGUUCAAUGUUGAAUAUAAAUAGCAUACUAUGAAUAACAAUAAAACUACUGUAAAAUUUACUUUAUUUACUAUAUAUUUUAAUGUCCGAAAAUAGUUUUCACAGUAGC
RNA transcript from Culex quinquefasciatus (southern house mosquito), 619 nucleotides. RefSeq lists it as uncharacterized. The transcript is spliced from 2 exons. Lineage: Eukaryota; Metazoa; Arthropoda; Insecta; Diptera; Culicidae. The record is from RefSeq and is a predicted model, not a curated record.